Rhagoletis zephyria (snowberry fruit fly) is the source of this 142-nucleotide long non-coding RNA. RefSeq lists it as uncharacterized. NCBI's taxonomy places the organism in Eukaryota, Metazoa, Arthropoda, Insecta, Diptera, Tephritidae. The record is from RefSeq and is a predicted model, not a curated record.
GCAACAGUGAAAAUUUUCACAUUUUCUUACAAACCUACUUUCGCAAUUUGGCGAUCUCCAAACUGAUUUUAGAUCCAUGGUUUAUUCGGCAAGUUUGCUUAGAAUUACACGUAGUAUCCUCCUAUGCUAUACGCCUAUAGUC